GAUGAACGCUGGCGGCGUGCCUAAUACAUGCCAGUCGAACGGGGAGUAGCAAUACUCUUAGUGGCGAACGAGUGAGUAACGAGUUGGUACCUGCCCCGAAGCGGGGGAUAACGGACCGAAAGGUACGCUAAUACCCCAUGUGCUCGGUAACGAGUAAAGGUGAAAACCACUUUGGGAGGGGCCUGCGUCCCAUCAGCUAGUUGGUAAGGUAACGGCUUGCCAAGGCGAUGACGGGCAGGGGACCUGAGAGGGGGGCCCCCCACAAUGGAACUGAAGCACGGUCCAUACACCUACGGGUGGGAGCAGUAGGGAAUAUUGGUAACGGGAGCAAGCCUGAACGAGCAAGGCCGCGUGUGCGAGGACGGCCUUCGGGUUGUAAAGCACUUUUGACUGGGACGAGGAAGGACGGUACCGGUCGAAUCAGCCUCGGCUAACUACGUG
This 441-nucleotide ribosomal RNA is filed under the name uncultured bacterium. RNAcentral describes it as "partial 16S ribosomal RNA". It matches the Rfam family "Bacterial small subunit ribosomal RNA", at positions 28 to 507 of the family's 1533-position model. The record is from RNAcentral.